UGGGGAAUUUUGGACAAUGGGGGAAACCCUGAUCCAGCCAUCCCGCGUGUGCGAUGAAGGCCUUCGGGUUGUAAAGCACUUUUGGCAGGAAAGAAACGUCGCGGGUUAAUACCCCGCGAAACUGACGGUACCUGCAGAAUAAGCACCGGCUAACUACGUGCCAGCAGCCGCGGUAAUACGUAGGGUGCAAGCGUUAAUCGGAAUUACUGGGCGUAAAGCGUGCGCAGGCGGUUCGGAAAGAAAGAUGUGAAAUCCCAGAGCUUAACUUUGGAACUGCAUUUUUAACUACCGGGCUAGAGUGUGUCAGAGGGAGGUGGAAUUCCGCGUGUAGCAGUGAAAUGCGUAGAUAUGCGGAGGAACACCGAUGGCGAAGGCAGCCCCCUGGGAUAACACUGACGCUCAUGCACGAAAGCGUGGGGAGCAAACAGGAUUAGAUACCCUGGUAGUCCACGCCCUAAACGAUGUCAACUAGCUGUUGGGGCCUUCGGGCCUUGGUAGCGCAGCUAACGCGUGAAGUUGACCGCCUGGGGAGU
This 533-nucleotide ribosomal RNA is filed under the name uncultured bacterium. RNAcentral describes it as "partial 16S ribosomal RNA". It matches the Rfam family "Bacterial small subunit ribosomal RNA", at positions 355 to 881 of the family's 1533-position model. The record is from RNAcentral.